RNAcentral lists this ribosomal RNA (382 nucleotides) under uncultured eukaryote. Its description in RNAcentral is "partial 18S ribosomal RNA". It matches the Rfam family "Eukaryotic small subunit ribosomal RNA", at positions 592 to 976 of the family's 1831-position model. The record is from RNAcentral.
UGUAAGCGUAUACCAAAGUUGUUGCAGUUAAAACGCUCGUAGUCGGAAUUUGGCAGUUCCGGAUGUGUGCACGUCGUGUGCGCACUUCGCUGGGAUUGCUUUUGUGGUCUUGCGUAGGAUGAGGCACUUUUAUUAGUGAACGUCCUCACGCAACCACUUUUUACUGUGAGAAAAUCAGAGUGCUCAAAGCAGGCAUUUGCCGUGAAUGUAUUAGCAUGGAAUAAUAGAAUAGGACUCGGUUCUAUUUUGUUGGUUUGUUAGGACUGAGUAAUGAUUAAGAGGGACAGUUGGGGGCAUUUGUAUUUCGGCGCUAGAGGUGAAAUUCUUAGAUUGCCGAAAGACAAACUGCUGCGAAAGCGUCUGCCAAGGAUGUUUUCAUUGA